ACCUGACUGCUAUCGGAUUGAUACUAAGCCAUGCGAGUCAUUGUAGCAAUACAAGGCAUACGGCUCAGUAACGCGUAGUCAACCUAACCUAUGGACGGGAGUAACCUCGGGAAACUGAGAAUAAUGCCCGAUAGAACACUAUACCUGGAAUGGUUUGUGUUCCAAAUGAUUUAUCGCCAUAGGAUGGGACUGCGGCCUAUCAGUUUGUUGGUGAGGUAAUGGCCCACCAAGACUAUUACAGGUACGGGCUCUGAGAGGAGUAGCCCGGAGAUGGGUACUGAGACACGGACCCAGGCCCUAUGGGGCGCAGCAGGCGAGAAAACUUUGCAAUGUGCGAGAGCACGACAAGGUUAAUCCGAGUGAUUUGUGCUAAACGAAUCUUUUGUUAGUCCUAGAAACACUAACGAAUAAGGGGUGGGCAAGUUCUGGUGUCAGCCGCCGCGGUAAAACCAGCACCUCAAGUGGUCAGGAUGAUUAUUGGGCCUAAAGCAUCCGUAGCCGGCUCUGUAAGUUUUCGGUUAAAUCUGUACGCUUAACGUACAGGCUGCCGGGAAUACUGCAAAGCUAGGGAGUGGGAGAGGUAGACGGUACUCGGUAGGAAGUGGUAAAAUGCUUUGAUCUAUCGAUGACCACCUGUGGCGAAGGCGGUCUACCAGAACACGUCCGACGGUGAGGGAUGAAAGCUGGGGGAGCAAACCGGAUUAGAUACCCGGGUAGUCCCAGCUGUAAACUAUGCAAACUCAGUGAUGCAUUGGCUUGUGGCCAAUGCAGUGCUGCAGGGAAGCCGUUAAGUUUGCCGCCUGGGAAGUACGUACGCAAGUAUGAAACUUAAAGGAAUUGGCGGGGGAGCACCACAAGGGGUGAAGCCUGCGGUUC
This 876-nucleotide ribosomal RNA is filed under the name uncultured crenarchaeote. RNAcentral's name for it is "bacterial SSU rRNA". It matches the Rfam family "Archaeal small subunit ribosomal RNA", at positions 21 to 903 of the family's 1478-position model. The record is from RNAcentral. Lineage: Archaea; Thermoproteati; Thermoproteota.